GCUCCUUCACUUCGGUGUUGUAGAGCACUCUGUGGAGUUAAUUGGGUGUCCAUUAGCAAUAAUGCAAAGCUCACUUCCCUCGUGGUUGUUUGGGCACUCUGGCCCCAUGUCACUCUGCGCAUGUCUGGAUGCGUUGAUGGCCCGUGUUGUACCACAUGCGCUUGGGAGAGCAAGUGUCAUGUAUAUCAAUACGAAGGUCAUCGCGUGUCUAGAUGUGUACCAAGCUGCACUGAUGAGGCGUAGGACGCCGAAACAUGCAUGUCUGCAGAUUGU
Non-coding RNA from Paramuricea clavata, 273 nucleotides. The record is from the annotation of a GenBank genome assembly. Lineage: Eukaryota; Metazoa; Cnidaria; Anthozoa; Malacalcyonacea; Plexauridae.